This 78-nucleotide transfer RNA is filed under the name Exilibacterium tricleocarpae. RNAcentral describes it as "Cellvibrionaceae bacterium R142 tRNA-Pro". It matches the Rfam family "tRNA". From Rfam's summary of the family: Transfer RNA (tRNA) molecules are approximately 80 nucleotides in length. Their secondary structure includes four short double-helical elements and three loops (D, anti-codon, and T loops). Further hydrogen bonds mediate the characteristic L-shaped molecular structure. tRNAs have two regions of fundamental functional importance: the anti-codon, which is responsible for specific mRNA codon recognition, and the 3' end, to which the tRNAs corresponding amino acid is attached (by aminoacyl-tRNA synthetases). tRNAs cope with the degeneracy of the genetic code in two manners: having more than one tRNA (with a specific anti-codon) for a particular amino acid; and 'wobble' base-pairing, i.e. permitting non-standard base-pairing at the 3rd anti-codon position. The record is from RNAcentral. Lineage: Bacteria; Pseudomonadati; Pseudomonadota; Gammaproteobacteria; Cellvibrionales; Cellvibrionaceae.
CCGGGUGUAGCUCAGUUUGCGAAGAGCGCUUGCUUUGGGAGCAAGAGGCCCUAGGUUCGAAUCCUAGUACCCGGACCA